Molecule: ribosomal RNA, 1211 nt
Filed under: metagenome
Description: bacterial SSU rRNA
Rfam family: Bacterial small subunit ribosomal RNA
Source: RNAcentral
GUGUACGGCCACAUUGGGACUGAGAUACGGCCCAGACUCCUACGGGAGGCAGCAGUAGGGAAUUUUGCGCAAUGGACGAAAGUCUGACGCAGCAACGCCGCGUGAGUGAUGAAGGUCUUCGGAUUGUAAAGCUCUGUUGAGUGGGAAGAAAAGUUUCCGGAAUAAUACCCUGAAACGUGACGGUACCAUUCGAGGAAGCACCGGCUAACUACGUGCCAGCAGCCGCGGUAAUACGUAGGGUGCAAGCGUUGUUCGGAAUCACUGGGCGUAAAGGGAGAGUAGGCGGGAAAAUAAGUUAGAAGUUUAAUAUAUAGGCUUAACCUAUAUCCUGCUUCUAAUACUGUUUUUCUUGAGUAUUGGAGAGGGAGAUGGAAUUCCAGGUGUAGCGGUGGAAUGCGUAGAUAUCUGGAAGAACACCAGCUGCGAAGGCGGUCUCCUGGACAAAUACUGACGCUGAGGCUCGAAAGCUAGGGGAGCAAACAGGAUUAGAUACCCUGGUAGUCCUAGCCGUAAACGAUGGACACUAGAUGCUGGAGGAGUCAAUCCUUUCGGCGUCGUAGCUAACGUGUUAAGUGUCCCGCCUGGGGAGUACGCUCGCAAGGGUGAAACUCAAAGGAAUUGACGGGGGCCCGCACAAGCGGUGGAGCAUGUGCUUUAAUUCGAUGCAACGCGAAGAACCUUACCUGGGUUUGACAUGGGAGUGAAAGUUUCCAGAGAUGGGAGCCUUUCCGCAAGGAACACUCUACACAGGUGCUGCAUGGCUGACGUCAGCUCGUGUCGUGAGAUGUUGGGUUAAGUCCCGCAACGAGCGCAACCCUCGUCCUUAGUUGCCAUCAGGUCAAGCUGGGAACUCUAAGGAUACUGCCUGGUUUAACCAGGAGGAAGGUGAGGAUGACGUCAAGUCAUCAUGGCUCUUACGUCCAGGGCCAGACACGUGCUACAAUGGUCGGUACAGAGGGAUGCAAAAUCGCAAGGUGAAGCUAAUCCCAUAAAACCGAUCUCAGUUAGGAUUGGAGUCUGCAAUUCGACUCCAUGAAUGUGGAAUCGCUAGUAAUCGCGGAUCAGAACGCCGCGGUGAAUACGUUCCCGGGCCUUGUACACACCGCCCGUCAAGCCAUGAAAGAUGGGAGUACCCAAAGUCGUUUAUUCAACCGCAAGGGGAAGAACGCCUAAGGUAAGACCAUUGAUUGGGGCUAAGUCGUAACAAGGUA